Molecule: long non-coding RNA, 12963 nt
Filed under: Equus caballus (horse)
Lineage: Eukaryota; Metazoa; Chordata; Mammalia; Perissodactyla; Equidae
Description: lncRNA (ENSECAG00000048903.1)
Source: RNAcentral
GUUUUGUUUUAUUUUAUUUUCCUGCAGAAAGUUCCAGAGCCCUUAAUGGGCAUUAUAAGUGUCCAAGAAGGGGCUGGAGCACAUCACUCCAAGUGUAUUUGGCCAAGGAAGGGUUUUUCCAAGAUCGCUUCCCACUGAGCACUUUAGGAAAUGUUGUUCAGGGCUUCCCUUACAAUCUUCCCCACAAAAUUCCCCACAGAGUUUUCAGAGCUGCUUCCUCCAGGCAUUUUAUUUCUUUUAGAAAUUAUGAUAUAGAUACAGAUAAAUACAUAUAAAAUAAAUUUCUCUGAAGACCAAGGUAAGACGUUCAUGACAGAAAACUUGGAGAAUGGAGAAAAAGACAAAGAGGAAAAUCUAAAACCAAGGAAAAGUGAAUAGCAUUCCUGUCCUGAAAGCAUUUUCUACUGAAAAUGGGUUAAUCCUGCCGAAUUUCUGCUACUUGUGGAGACCUUUCCAGAUAAAAUCAUGCCUUGUUGUCCCACAGGUCACAGCUGUACUUCCUCCAUUUCGCCUAUUGAACCCACUGAGCAAAGAUCACUUGCGCUCAUCUUUGCGCCCUACGUAGCCUCCAGCAGGUUCUAGUCCUCAUCAAAAUCAACACCCAACAAAGCAAAUAUAAAAUCUGAAUAGGUGCUGUCAACAUGCAGAAAUCACCAGCGGGCUGGAGGAGUGCCCCGGGGCUCAUGAUGAGGGUUGUCACCUUUUACCAGGCACCAAUAGAUUUAAUGGAAGCCAAAAGACUUCCGGUGUUGAACAGACCAAGGGGAUAGAGAGGGGCAUCUGAAUUUUGGUGUCCUUGUGGGCAAAAUGAAGAGAUUGGAUUAUAUAGUACCUGAAGUCUCUUCCAUUGUGAACAGUCAACACAAUCACCAUUGCUAAAUUAUUAGACCAAAAUUCUUAUUUUGAAAAAUGCCUAAGAGAAAGUAACACCAACAGUAAAGACAGCCAAAUCCACCAUCUCUCUCAAAGUAAUUAAAUUCUCCCUCCUUCCUACCUUCUCAUAUACUUUACCCAGAUGAAAUCAGAUUUUCAAGGAAAGUAUUUAGGGGAUAAGGAAGUUACCAAAGGACAACACAUGAGCAGGCUAGGGAAUCUCUAGGAGGAAAUACAUACAGAGCUGCCCCAUUUUGCUUGGAACCAGCUCUGCUUGACCCCUGCCCGUGCUCUUCACUAUUCCAUGCUCCCUCCCAACUAGCAUUUUCAGUUGAAAAUGAGGCAAUAACAUUUAGGCUAACUAGGAACAAGAAUAUUAAAUGAGAUAAUAUGUAAGUACUAAGAAAAAAAGGAGGGGGAGUGGUACUCAAUGAAGUUAGUCGUUGUUAUUUUAAGUAUAACUUUUCAAGAAAUUAUAAUAUUCCAAGGCCUGGAAACCAGAGAAAAGAGAAAGGGCAGAAAUAUUGUGUGGCUUUAGUAAUAUGAUGACGCAGGGGGUUGUUCUCUUUACCAGCUGCCAAGUGGGAUCCCCCUGCAAAGUUCCAUGAGGGAUGUCACUCAAGAAAGGCAAUCGCCAGGGCUAGAAAUGAUACCACAGUAGUGUCACUACUCAUUUCCUUACACUUAAAAUAUUCACCCCGAAGACCAGUUCAUUUUCUUUGGAAAUGUGUCUUAAAUCAGGUCUCUAUUAUUUUCCUCACUCACAGUCAACAUCUGCCAGUUCAGCGUCAUAGCUGCAACCUCAGCAGUCCCCAUGGGGCUUCCUGUCUUCAGCCUUCCUCAAGGCUUCCCAGGGCCAUCAAAUUCACUGUCCUACUUUGCACUUUGAUCUUUGAUCUUCCUCCCCUACGUCAAAUCCCUCUCAGUCUCCCUCUAGGUAUAGAAUUAAUUCCGAACUCUCCAGCCCAGCACAUGACGCUCUGUAUAGUCUAAUAGUCCACUCUCCGCCUUUCCUUUCACUGCUAGCCAUUGCCUGGACCCAACCAAAAGCCAGAAGGCAGGUCAGCCCAUUGAGGCAGUCCGUUCCUCAGUCUCUUAUGGCACAGAGCAGCUGGAAAGGAUAGGAAGCGGAUCUGGAGGGAAAAGGGGAGAAUAACCAGCACGGCCACUAUCGUAGGUUUUUAAAUGUAGAAAUGUAGAAAAUCGGACUUAAAAGCACCUGAAAAAAAUAGAAGUUAACUUUCCUGUAGUCUUGGGGGUAGGCCUUUGUAAGCACAACCAAACCCGACAGAGCUCGGGCUCGACCCAGGCAGUUUGUCUCCAGAGCUUUAGACACUUAAAUAUGUAAAUACAUACAAAUUAAAAUAAAGAGCUUUUAUAGAUAAAAAAAAUCGGUAAGUAUAUUGUAAAAGUCCAAAAAUUGUUCAAUGUCAAUAAUCAAGGAAAUUUAAAUACAUAUGUGACACUUUUAAUCUAUCAGAUUGGCAAAACAUUAAAAUAAUCUAUCAUCUGCUAUUGUCCCAGGGGCGAUUCAAUGCACAGAAGUAUACGUUGAGACAACUUUCUUGGGGUCAAGUGGGCAACAAAUAUCAAAACCCUUAAAUUUUUUGUACCCUUAGACUUUGAUCCUAAAGAAUAAAGUAUGAUUACGCACAAAGACUUAGCAACAAAGAUUUUUAGGACAGAAGUAUUUAAAAUGAUAAAAUGUUGGAUAUAAAUUAAAUGUCCCUAAAAAAAGGUACAGUCAAAUAAAUUAUGAUAUAUCUACAUGACAAAAUACUACACAACCAUGAAAUAUGAUAUUCUAGAAGAUUGUAUGACACGGAAAAAUAUUCAGACAUAUUAUUGAGAGAAAAAGAAGUUCAAAAAACAUUGUAAACAGCAUAAUACUGCCUAUGUGAAAAUAUGCAUUUAAAAAGCCUAAAGAAUAAUAUAACAUGUUAUCAGUGGAUAUCUUUAGGUGGCAAGAUUCAAGUGGUUUUUAUAUAUUUAUUUGUUGCUUAUCAGUAUUUUUCAAAUUUUCUGCAUGAAAUACUUUUGCAAUAAGAAAAGCACAAUAAAAACAUUAUAAAUUAAUGGCAAAUUGCUUCUUUUAUAUGCAGAAUGAUUUUGUACAUGAUUGUGAGCUGCCAGAUGAUGCCAUCCAGGCUGUGCGCUUACAGCUCCAGUAGACACAUUCUCAAGUUAGAACUUAUUUUCAAAUAAAAUGUAAAAUCAUAAUAAUCUACUAUAAUUCAAAAUAAUUUUCUAAAUACAAAAAAGGGGCAACAAGAGAUAUAAGUGACUUCAUCACAUCCAAAGCUGGCAGCAUGAAGACAAGGACACUGACCUCCUCGCUCGCCCUUCUGGGCUGCAGCCUUUAGGCCGCGCUGCUUUGUACCAAAACUUCCAAUGCCUACAAAACCCUUUGUGAAACUAAACCACAGAAAGAAAGAACCCUUGUCUAGCAGCUGAAGGCAAACUGCCAAUCUAUUUCCAUCCUUCAUCUAAUUCUCAGUUGGCUAGCUAAGUGAAAAAGGUAACCAGAGACAGGGGAGAAGGCCACUGAUAAGAAUGAUAGAUAAGUAAAUAAAACAUUCAUAAGAGGCAGUUCUCUACAUCUCAGACCCAUUUUAUGUGAGUCUCAGUGAACAUGGCUGCUUAAAGAACCAAUGUUGCACAAAACAAAUGGACAAUGGGACAAAAAUAAUGACGCAAUGCAGAUGUGCAUAUUAUAAAACAUGGGAUACAAUAUGAGGAGUGUAAACCCAGAGAAGGGCUGCUUCUUUCAAGACCUGGGUCUUCCGGUUCCUCUGGAAGAGAACUUGUGCUAUUUGGAGAUACCUCCCUGGUGAAGCUGAGCACACUGGGCGUAGGAGGUGUGCCUUUCAUCCCUGCUGUGACUUACACAGUCCAAUCAAUUUCUAUUUGCUUUACCUUGGCAUUUAGUCCAGUAUUUUCUAAGUAGUAGGCACUUGGCAUACCUUUUAAACAGAUUCCUCUCCAAAAUGUGAGAAAAAAUCAUUUGAGGCUAGGAAAACUAUUUCUUCCUUUUGGUGUUCAAGUGCUGUACGAUCCAGUAGAGGUCAGCCUCUCACAAUUGAUUCAAGGACACAGAGAAGCCCCUCCCUCCCAACCUUGUCACCCUCAAAUCCUCCCCUUUUCGUUCAUGGUAUAGUGGAAAGAAUCCCACAGAUAGAAGUCAUUGCAUGAUGACUGGGGGUACGUUAUUUAACGUCUGUAAGCUUCAGUGACCUGUAAAAAGAGGGAGGAAAGUGGGGAAGCAUUUUAUAAGUUAUAUAAUAGAAUCCAGCACAAUACCUGACACAAAAUACCUGCCAGUGAAUAUGGUUUCCUUGCUUUUUUUCCUUCUUCCUUAAAAUCUCUCCAUUCCACCAUCAGAGGUAAGACAAAUUCUCCUACAAGAGGUCCUGAUGGGCUUAAGUUCAUACUGAGUUAUCAAUCACCAAUAGUAGAUCUUUUCUUGAAAACUGUUUCUAAAGGGAAGAGAGAAUCAGGUGCCAGCAAGAGAUGGAAGACAAAGAGGGAGGAAGUAUGGAAAGGCCAGGGUGGAGCAGAAAGAAAACACUUGUGUUGAAAGCUAAAUCAACAUCACCUAGUACUGGUUCUCAGAACACCAAAAUCGGGAGAAAAGAGAUUCAAGGUUUUAGGAACUAGACAUACAUACUGAAGUCUAGUGAUUAUAUAAAAUAUUCUUAAGGUCAAAAUCACAAAAGACAUUAGAGGACAGGUGCUGGGAACCCUGGCUCCUGGCUCCAACCCCCCUCCACCUCCUGCAGGAGCAGAAUAGUACGCUUGUUGAAAGCAACGAACACGGGCACAGGGUUCUGCUCUCCAUCCUGCCACGGAGUCUGCACAGCCUUGGACAAAUUCUCCCAUCAGCGAAACGAGGAUAACAAGGACUCACUAAUGAAUAACUGAGCAGAUAAGUAAGACAGUACAUGCAGAACAUAUAGCACAAUGUCUGGCAGUUUAGGUUCUCAAAAGAUGGGAAUCCCUAGGGGUUAUCUGUGUGAUCCUAGGAGGCACGUCCUCCCUGGACAUCAGCUUCCUCAUCUCUAGAAGGGGACAUAAGGAAUCGAAAGAUAACCUCUAGGGUCCUUCCAGAACUAAAACUUGUCUAAGCCUCAUGCAGAGGCCCAGCCUCCCUCGGCUCAGCUCUCCCGAGGAGCCGGCAGCUUGAACUCAGGGACGUGGCCCACAGGCCACAGCCUAAGGUUUGACAGCUGUUUCCAUCAGGCAAAGCAAUAGGACAAUGUGGCAAAAGAAUCCGUGAGAGAGAAGGAUUCAGUGCAGCCCAAUUUGAAGGAAAGACUUUGUCAAGAUCAUUUUGAAAAAGAAACGUGACUUCCUCUUUUUUCAUUUGAGGUCAAGAAACAAGAAGGGACACCCAGCUGAGCUGAGUCUCUGGGGCUUCUGCAGGAUCACAUGUCUCUUCAGAAAUGCCAUUUUAACUGAUGUAAGUGUGAAGGAGUUGGAACCCCAGGGAUUAAAUUUCUGCUGAAAUACACAUGUUUUUCGAAAAAAAACAAAAAACAAAAAAGAGCUCUUGACCCAGGGAAUGCAAAGCCUUUUGGAAAGCGUCCUAAGCCUGAUAUGGAGGGUAUCAGAUGCCGCUGGCCGGCCGGGGCUCCCCUCGUGCUGUAGGUUAGCAUGGGACCACCUGGCCGUGCUGGCCUCGGGGCCAGGGAGGGGGAGAGAGACACCUGUCUCAGCUUGUCUCACAUAUACGAACACACAUUCCUAGGCCUGGGGACUUUUCCCCCCACAAAGACAUGUUUUAUGACUACACUUGCAUUUUUAUGACAAAACAAUUCCACACUCGUCUGAAAGGAAGUGGGGUCUAAGUAGCCUGGGAGACUAGACACCUGGGUUCAGCCUAGUCCUGUCGCAGCUCUUCUCACCUGCUGGCCAUGCUGCUGGGGGCCAGGCUUCUCCCCUGUGAGUGGGUUGGAGUGUGUGCCCUGCCAGCCUCCUUUGGGGACAGAGUCAGCUACAGCUUGUGGCAAAGGCUAUUCGACUCUCACUGCCAUCCCCGUGCCACCACACGAUUCAUGGUCACCGUACAUUAGUUUGCAUUUCCUAGAAUUGUAUAUAAAUGAAAUCCUACAGUAUGUACUGUUUUUUUUGUCUGGAUUUGCAUUCAGUAUAAUUAUUUUUAGAAUUAUCUGUGUUGUGCGUACCCAUAGUUUGAUCCUUUUUGUUUACUGCAAUUUACUUGUCAAAAUUCACCUCUGGAUGAGUAGAUACUUUGGCUGUUUCCAUUCUGGCUUACUACAAAUAAAGCUGCUGUGAAUAUUCUGUGCAAAAUAAAAAGACUACGUGGCUCUCAGAAAGAACGUCCGGUUGCAAGUCCUGCAUGUUACCUCACCUCUCUGAGCCUCGGCGUUUCCAGCUAUCAAAAAGGUGCAACACAUCCUCCACCCCAGUUGUUGUGAGAAUUAAGUGGCAUAAAGAUGCAAAGGUUUUUUUAAUACAGUAUAAAGAGGGGCCUGCCCGGUGGCACAGCAGUUAAGUUCACACAUUCCGCUUGGCGGCACGGGGUUCGACCGUUCAGAUCCUGGGUACGGACAUAUGCACUGCUUGGCAAGCCAUGCUGUGGUAGGCAUCCCACAUAUAAAGAGAGGAAGAUGGGCACGGAUGUUAGCUCAGGGCCAGUCUUCCUCAGCAAAAAAGAGGAGGAUUGGCGGUAGAUGUUAGCUCAGGGCUAAUCUUCCUCAAAAAAAAAAAAAAAAACCACAAAAAAAUAAAAUAAAAUAAACUAUUAAAAAAAGUAUAAAGAUAUUCAUUUUCCCUUCAGUAAUUAUUCAUUCAUAAUCAAAUAACUGCUGGUUGAAGGUAAUGGGAGGAUUUCUGUGAGUGUGCGCGCACGCGUGUGUGUGUGUGUGUGUGUGUGUGUAUGAGAAGACACUCUGCACAGAACAGGGGGACAUAAACAAGUGCAAUUCAGUGCCAUCAUCCAUGUGGGGCAAAAGGGGUAAGCACUGAAAAAGAUGAAUAAAUUCCACUAGACAGCAAGGUGAGAUGUCCCAGGGAAGCACAGGGAUCAGAACCCUGGACGGUUAGAGCCAGAAAGGAAGUUGGGAGUGUGAACCGCACUAGUCAGGAAGCCUUCGUGGAGGACAUGAGGUCAUCUGGGUCCUUCAAGCAGGACAGGAAGGACGUGAUGGGGAGCACAUAAUUGGUCAAGGACCUGCCCACACCCUGUUGUCCUGAGUGACAGUGUAAAGAGGAGUCAAAGGGGGGCCCCAGGAGUGCUUAUUUCACAAAUCCUUCUCACCGCAUUAGGACAAGUGCUUAGCAAACUUUCCACAGUGUCUUUUCCAAUCAAAACAGGCCUGUGUCAUGCUGUUGCUAGGCCUGAGGGUUUUCAGUCCCGCCUGGGCAAUACAGACGGCCCAAAAGAGAUGAGCCCUCAUGUCUCUCUGCGUGAGGGAGAAGGAUGCUUGAAAGCCUCAGCAGUUGGUAGCAGCAGGAACCCCCAAGGCCAGAGGGAGGGUGGGGGUGGGAAAGAGAAGAACUGGCUGGAAAUCUGUGUAGUGGGUAGAUGGACACCUAGGACUCCUCCCCGAGCCUGCACAGCCAAAAGUUGCCAUCUCCCACCCUGGCAGAAGAUGGGAGAACUAUUCUCUGCACAGGUUAUAUGAAGAAGCUCUGGAAACAGGAAUACCAGGCACAGCUAUGGGCAGGAAUGAGACAUUGCAUAGAACACAGGGGCAUUGAUAAGAGUCUAGAAAAUGAAUGGUGGGCACCACUCCUCCACCUUGCCCUAGUUAACCCUCAGAAAAGUGGCAAGCAGGCAUACAGCCUGGAAACAAAAGAGCUCCUCUCUGAGGAAGCUGAGAGGUCCAAAGAGGGGGAAGGGACCAAACAACACCUAGAGAUAUUGAUGUUUGAUCACCAAGAAAUCACCCAGAUUCUUACUUGAAUAUCCUAUAGUGGCGUCCAGCAAUCAGAGAGCCCUGCCCACACACAGCUAUUCCACUCAGCCUUUGAGCAGUUCGUCCUUUGUAAGGCCAGUCAACACAUACUGAGACUUGAGGAAUGCUUGUAACAUAAAAGACAGACAAAGAAAGAUAAUAAACGUAAUAGAAGAAAAAGUUUAAACAUACUCAAUAUAGCAUAACAGAUAUAACAAACAAUGAAACAAGAUCAAGAUCUAUAAAACAGACUGCUAUUUGUUGUUGAAUAGAGUGCUAUUUAAGAAAGAGGUCUUGCACAAUUAGAAGGACCUGCAACUAAGAUAUACAACUGUGUACAGGGGGGAUUUGGGGAGAUAAAGCAGGAAAAAAAAAAAAAAGAUUGGCAAGAGUUUUUAGCUCAGGUGCCAAUCCUUAAAUAAAAAAAGGAAGAUUGGCAACAGUUGUUAGCCCACGUGCCAAUCUUUAAAAAAAAAAGAAAGAGGUCUUGCAAAUUUAAAAGCAUGCUAGCAGAAGUUUAAAAACGUAAAAGGUUAGAACAGAAAGUUGAGACACUCUCAUAGUAAGCAUCACAAGAAGAAAAAGAGAUAAGAAACAUCAGGCAAGAAUAUAAGGAAAUUAGACAAUCAAUCCAAGACGUACACGAGAUAUAUUGUAGGAGUCCUGGAAAGAUAAACAAGGAAAAUGGAGGGGUUAAAAUUACCAAAGAAGUAAUGUAAGAAAUUUUCCUAAAGCUAAGUAGCAUUUCCAGAUCUAACACACCCACCAAGGCCUAACUCAUUGAAAUCACUGAUGGAAAAACCCACCCCACAUGGCCUCAUGGGAAAUUUUAUAACACCAAGGUUCCAGAGAAGAUCCUAACACUUCUAGGAACACUAGGAGUUGGAAAACUCUGUGCCAGUUAUUAAACCAUUGCCUCUCAGCCCUGUCCACCCACACUGGGACUCUGCCAACCAAGUUUCUCCUUUGAUGGCUGGUUUCCUGUUACAGUCUGUCAGUAGGUGGCCUAAAGGGAGACUAGAAGUCUAGAGAAGGGACAAGGACAUGCUCUUUCCUGUUUCCUUCUCUGCCUAUCAGCAUCAUCUCUGUAACAGCCCUUCCCCUGGCUGAGGCAGUGGAUCAGGCUCUAGGCUUUGGAAAGCUACCACAUGAGUUCUUCUACCGAGACAAGGGAGAAAACCAUGAAGACAGGAGACAUGGGAUCCAGGAGACAGCAGCUUCAGGUGGUGGAGAGAAAUCUUGGAUGACAGCUAUGCCACCGGAGAGAGCAGCCAGUCCAGAUUGGAGCAGGAGGAGAGAGGCAUCCAAUUAGAAAAGAGGAGAGUGAUAGCUUCCUCGAUGUCCUUAUCCAGACUGAGGGGAGUUCUACGAUUCUGUUGGAAAGAUUGAGGCUGACUUGGUGACCGGCACCUAGAAAAUGAAUAAAAAGCAAAAAUCAAAACUUUACUCCAAAGAAAACACAUGAUAGGAACGUGCACAAGAUAGAAAAUGCCUUCACAGUGUGCUACCUGGUUCAGCUGCAUACAAUAUUUACAUAAUCAUAAGAACGCUGACACAAAAUCCUAGUUGAACAGAAGCAUCCAACACAUCCAUAAUGAAUGCAGGGAGUGGAAAGGCUGAAUAAUGUCCCCCAAAGACAACAGACCCUCAUCCCUGGGACCUGUAACUAUUCCUUUAUUUGAAAAAGAAAAGUGUCUUUGCUGAUGUGAUUAAAUUAAGGGUUUUGAGAUGAGAUUAUUCUGGAUUACCAGGAGGGCCUUAAAUGCAAUCACAUACAUCCUUGUAAAAGGGAGCCCGAAGGAGAUUAGCCAAAAACACUCAGAGGAGAAGCCACAAUGUGCCAACAGAGGCAGAAAUCAGAGUGAUGUGGCCACAAGCCAAGGAGUGCUGCAGCCCCAGAAGCCGAGAGAGGCAGGAACGGACUCUUCCCCAGUGCCUCUGGAGGGAGUGCAGCCCUGUCAACGUCUUGAUUUGGGCCCAGCAAUACUGAUUUUAGACUUCUGGCAUCCAGAACUAUGAAAGAAUACAUUUGUUCUGUUAUUUCAAGCCACCAAGUGUGUGGUAAUUUAUUACAGCAGCCACAGGGCAUUAAUUCAGGGGAUGUAUGGGAAAAGAGAUGAAAUAGACAUAAAUUCACAUCUUCUCCAGUAGGAAGUCAAUAGAUUUUGUCUAAAAUGGAAAGAUCAGAAAACAGUAAUAAACAUAGGAGGGAACCGUCAGAAGAGUUAUUAGAAUAGUUCUGGGGACUGGACGUCACAGGUAGAGGGGGCCAUUGUUCGUUAGAAGACUGACAGUGCUAUCUGGCUUUGUAAACAAUGUGAAAUUUAAACUGUACUAACUUAAAAAAAAAACUUAAGGGGAGGAAACUGGAUCAAUUCAUCCCAUUUUUAAGAAGUAUUUUGUAAACCCUUCUGGUAGAGAGGAAGCGAGUCAGGACAAUAAAAAUCAGGGAGCGGAAGAGCUAGAAAGGCCUUUAUUAUGACCCCUUUGCGAGCAGGGCUCUCUGGAAGGCACCAUACAGGCAUUGUGGCUUCUGUGCCUCCCAACAACCUGCAAGACAGGCGUGAAUUCACAGAAGGAGGCUGAGCCUCAGGGAGAUGAAGUAACACUCCGCGACGUCGUGCAGCCGUCUGCCUCCAAACCUGUGCUCUGCUCUCCAUCACCUCUGCCUGGGGACCUCAGAGACGAGGCUCAGGAACUCGAAGGAGGCGGAGACUGUUGCCUGAGGGAAUAACACAGGCUUCAUGGGAGCUGUGACUCUGGGGUUUCAUAAAUGUGGAGAGAAUACCGGUUUCUUUGAGUUUUUACUACUUGGUUUCAUAGGAGACUCUUAAAUGCUAAAGACCACCUUGCCAGGUGAAUAUUAUUUUCAUAGUCUCCAUUUUACAAAAGAGAAGGCUAAGGCUUUGAGUAGUCAAGUUGUUUCUCUAAGUCGUAAAGGCAGUUCUUGAACUCAGGUUUUCAGCCGCCACAUCUUCUGCUCCUUCCAUCUCAUGAGGUAGCUAGAAACCCUUGCAGAACUGAACAGCACUCCAGACCAGCCCGCAGCGAGGCCUGCUCUGUGGUUAGAAGGGAAGGAGCCUAGGACAAGGCUGAGCACAGAAUGAAGGAGCUGGAAAGUAAAACAGGGUUCCAGAGCAUUCAGAGAGUCAAAUGAUGAAGUUAGCCCUACUGCCAUUGUCUCUCACCUACCCCAGCCCUUAUGAAAUCUGGAGCUACAUACUGACAAGAAAAAAAGGCAUUUCAAGGCAAGCAAAGUCCAGCUGGGAGCAGGACAGUCUGGCUAUAAGCAUUGAACCAAAGCCAAAAGAGAACAGAAAAAGUCUCUGUCAGAUGAUCCACCCAUUUAAACUCGAUCUGCCAAACCAGGGCUCCUUGUCUGUCUCGUUCCAAUUACCAGCCAUGCUCCCAGCAACCGACAUGCCGAAUCACCCUCCAGUGCCACAGCUGAUGGCUCAUAAAGCUUUGUGCUCAUCUAAUCCUCUAACAGCCUGGAGCUGUAUUAGUGUCACAGUAGCAAAUUCGCUCACGAAUUGGAACUUUAUUAUUUUACUGUACAAAAGUCAGCAGGGUUCUUGAAGGAACGGCAAGCUAUCUGUUAACCCUUUCCCAUCUCAUCUCCCAUAACUGCCAUCAGAAAAUAUGACUUCACAUCAAAUAAAUGCCUUUGGAUCAAACCCUCUGAAGCCUCCAGCACCAGUGUGAGUACAUAUUCAGAAAAGAAGGUCAGUUGUCCAGCUCAUGUGAUGUUAGGCGCAGCCAAAUCUCUCCAAAAAGGCAAACUCGGGUCAGGACCCAUGGCUGAGUGGUUAAGGUUCCACGUGCUCCACUUCAGUGGCCCUGGGUUCUUGGAUUUGGAUCCUGGGUGCAGACCUACUCCACUCAUCAGCCAUGCUAUGGAGGUGUCUCACAUACAAAAAACUAGAGGAGGAUUGGCACAGCUCAGGGCUCAUCUUCCACAAGCACAAAAAGAGGAGGAUUGGCAGCAGAUGUUAGCCUACCACUUACGAACUGGGUAACCUUGGAAAAGUUCCUUCAUCUCUCUAAGUCUAGUUUAUUGCCUGUAGAAUAGUCAAAUCACACUUCUCCCUAAGAGUAGAGAUGUAAGGAGACCAUGCAGGUGGGCGCAUUUAGCACUUUGAUCACCAGAGGGGAGGCACUUGCUAGAUGCCUGUCUUCUUCUUUCCUUGAUUCACUUUCCUGUCCAGAUUAAGUGGUUGCCAUUUUCUUUCGUUUCUUGUGGAAAAUUUUCCUGGAAAGGACCAAGAGAAAUUUGUGAACUUCUGGGUAUAAAUGAUCCUGCAGCUCAGCUUCUGUCCUUCAUAAGAAUAUGAUAUAUCUGGAGGUGGUUAGUGGAAUUUGAAAAUACCUGCCAAACUAAAUGUGUGCGGUUUUAAUGACACCCAGCUAUUGGAACCCGUGGAGCAGAGAUGCCGAAAAAGAUAGGAAAAUUCAGACAAAGGAUCUGGGAAAGGAUAAAUACAAGAUUUAUCAUCUCCAUAAUUUUGCCUGGAUACAGCUAAUUGCAAAAACUCUUUAGUAAGUAGUUAAAUGUCAAUUAAGUCAAUGAAGAAAUUCAUUGAAGGAUUUAUUUUGACAAAUGAAUAGUUGUUUGGGGCAGCACAAACGGAGACUGCAUGCAGUGUGAGGCAAUGAGGAAAUGAAAUUCCCCAGGCUGCUUCAUCCACGCGGGAGUUUGUGAUGGUGCAACGUGGAGAAAAACAGUCAGCGACUUACUGCAGGGUGUGGGCGUGGGGAGAGCUGAGACAGAAAAGCGUCUUUUCCAUUUCUUACUCAACCCAGAAAAUGUCUUCUUUUUACCAAAAGUAAGAAGAAUAAAAGAUUUCUCCCACUGAGAUGCCACAGAAUGCAAAUCAACAGAGAGAGAAGUUUCUCCUGGGUCUAGGCAGCUGCAGCAGGCGCCUGACAGAGACUGGAAAAGAACCUGAAUGCCUUGAGCCCAGCGUUGCACAGAGUGGCCACUGCAGGGUCGAGAAGUACUGUGAGUGUUAUUACUGUUAAGUGCUAACAUUUACUGAAACCAUACGGAAUGGAAACAUGGCACUGUCUCGUUUGAUCCUCACUACUAGACUAUCCUUAUGUCCAUUUUAGAAAGAGAGUGAGGUACACACAGAAACAUGUCCACUUAGGAUAUUCUUGAGUAUACAAC